CUUUUCCCACCGGAGCUUGCUCCACCGGGAAAAGAGGAGUGGCGAACGGGUGAGUAACACGUGGGUAACCUGCCCAUCAGAAGGGGAUAACACUUGGAAACAGGUGCUAAUACCGUAUAACAAUCGAAACCGCAUGGUUUCGUUUUGAAAGGCGCUUUACGGUGCCGCUGAUGGAUGGACCCGCGGUGCAUUAGCUAGUUGGUGAGGUAACGGCUCACCAAGGCCACGAUGCAUAGCCGACCUGAGAGGGUGAUCGGCCACAUUGGGACUGAGACACGGCCCAAACUCCUACGGGAGGCAGCAGUAGGGAAUCUUCGGCAAUGGACGAAAGUCUGACCGAGCAACGCCGCGUGAGUGAAGAAGGUUUUCGGAUCGUAAAACUCUGUUGUUAGAGAAGAACAAGGGUGAGAGUAACUGUUCACCCCUUGACGGUAUCUAACCAGAAAGCCACGGCUAACUACGUGCCAGCAGCCGCGGUAAUACGUAGGUGGCAAGCGUUGUCCGGAUUUAUUGGGCGUAAAGCGAGCGCAGGCGGUUUCUUAAGUCUGAUGUGAAAGCCCCCGGCUCAACCGGGGAGGGUCAUUGGAAACUGGGAGACUUGAGUGCAGAAGAGGAGAGUGGAAUUCCAUGUGUAGCGGUGAAAUGCGUAGAUAUAUGGAGGAACACCAGUGGCGAAGGCGGCUCUCUGGUCUGUAACUGACGCUGAGGCUCGAAAGCGUGGGGAGCAAACAGGAUUAGAUACCCUGGUAGUCCACGCCGUAAACGAUGAGUGCUAAGUGUUGGAGGGUUUCCGCCCUUCAGUGCUGCAGCUAACGCAUUAAGCACUCCGCCUGGGGAGUACGACCGCAAGGUUGAAACUCAAAGGAAUUGACGGGGGCCCGCACAAGCGGUGGAGCAUGUGGUUUAAUUCGAAGCAACGCGAAGAACCUUACCAGGUCUUGACAUCCUUUGACCACUCUAGAGAUAGAGCUUCCCCUUCGGGGGCAAAGUGACAG
RNAcentral lists this ribosomal RNA (995 nucleotides) under Enterococcus mundtii. RNAcentral's name for it is "bacterial SSU rRNA". It matches the Rfam family "Bacterial small subunit ribosomal RNA", at positions 71 to 1037 of the family's 1533-position model. Lineage: Bacteria; Bacillati; Bacillota; Bacilli; Lactobacillales; Enterococcaceae. The record is from RNAcentral.